CAGUCGUACCGGCGGAUAAUCAGCCUUUCGGGUGCGAUUCUGUGGGGCGUGAGGAGCUUAACCGCCUUCAUGUUUUGCAUAUUCGUGCACAUUUGGAAUGUGGCUGUCUUCGGGCAGUGUUAUAGCCUUGUGUUGUAUGUCUUGGUUGGGACUGAGGAACGCAGCGCGCCAUUUUGGCCGGGGGUCGCUCCUCUCGACACGCGCUUAGGAUGCUGGCAUAAUGGCUUUAAGCGGCCCGUCUUGAAACACGGACCAAGGAGUCUAACAUGUGUGCGAGUGUU
RNAcentral lists this ribosomal RNA (281 nucleotides) under Acaulospora laevis. Lineage: Eukaryota; Fungi; Glomeromycota; Glomeromycetes; Diversisporales; Acaulosporaceae. The record is from RNAcentral.